This is a long non-coding RNA of Paramisgurnus dabryanus, 2997 nucleotides long. RefSeq lists it as uncharacterized. Lineage: Eukaryota; Metazoa; Chordata; Actinopteri; Cypriniformes; Cobitidae. The record is from RefSeq and is a predicted model, not a curated record.
UUCACUUUGAAAUGAUUUAUUUCUUUGUAAAGCACUUUGAAUUAACUCUCUGUAUGAAAUGUGCAAUAUAAAUAAACUUGCCUUGCCAAAUGUAUAAUUAAUAUCCUGCUAUGUGCAGAAGUACAGAUAGUUUGUAUUUGUGGUGUAAACAGGAAGAAGAGAUUCACAACAGAACAGGAAACCUGGUGAGUUAAAGAUGCACGUGACAGACAGAAUACACUUUGUUUACUUUCACAAGUACAUCAGUCAUACAUACCCGCAUGUGGCCCUUUCUCAUCUCUACACUGGACAUCUAGUGAGUGCACAAGUGUGUGAUUGUCACUUCCUGACAUUAAAAGAAGAGCGAUCUCUCCAGUAAAGAUUUCCAGUGAUCUCAUACACAGAUGAUUAAUUUGUCUAAAGUGACACCGCUGGUUUCCAGAGAAAUAAAUCCUGAAUAAUGAUGAACACAAACCAGCAUCACAGUUGUGUCUCCUGUCGGGAACUUCAGUUCAAUGAAACCACAACAACAAAACAAACACAGACCUGGUGGUACCCAUAUAAACACCAGCAGUGUACAUUUAACCCUGCUGAUUUUGCUGCUUCAUUCAGAUACACUUUAACACUCUGCUCAUUAACAGAAAUGUGUUUUAUAAGCUGUAAAACAUAAGAAUUUUUAUACUGUAAUGCAAUCAGCAGAGGAAAAUUACAACAGUACUGCUCCCACCACCAUACUCCAUAAGGUGAUGAUGAAAAUCUGUCAGAAUUUACAGAGUGAUUGAUGUCACAUUCAUUUCAUCGUGUGUUUGUUCUGGAGUCCACUAUUUUAACAAACAGAGGGAAAGCUUUCUAAUGUAAUGUUUCUUGUUUUGUUUAUUUUAAGCUUUUCACAUGUGAGAAAUCUCAUGAAUUUCCUAAUGACAAACGAAUCAUGAACAUUCACUCACAUCUGUAUUUCCUCAAAUGUCAUGGUGCUAAACAUGACUAAAUGAACUUCUGAACAUCUAUGAAUUAGAGCUGUGUGACGGGUGAAGAUUAAGCAGCAGGAUGGCAGAUCUCAAUCACAGUCAUAUUUCUUUACAAAUUUUCUUCAAAUGAAACCUACAUUGUAAUGUUUUUUCUACUGUUGGUUUGGUUAAAGGCAUUGUUAUGUAAGGAAAAAGUAAGGAUGGACUGUUGAAUUAUUGUAAAAUAAUGUAAUAACCAAGAUGGUAAUGCUUCACAACUCUUUUACCACAGGAACCACAGACUUUGCUCUAGGUAAUCUAAGUAAAUUCACUACAUUGUGUUUUUGAAAACUCUGGAAAGUGUGUGUGUGUGUUGCGUGCGUGCCUGCCUGCGUGUGUGUGUUUGUGUGUGUGACACCGGCUGAAUCAUCAGUAAGAUUCACUUAAAUCGUUUAGCAGAUAAAUACAGACAUCAGAGGCACACAAACACUUAAUACUGCGCUCACGCAAACAUCUAUCUUAUUCUAAAAGCUUUUGUCAGAUUUAUUGAAUCAAUUUUUGCUGGUUGUCCAUCAGAAAUGUCCAGGUAAGAUAGCAUUUGUGUCUUUGUUGCUUUGGAGAGGGAGUACAACAUACUGAACUUACUAUAGAUAAAGUCAUUGUCACAGAGAAAUGAACUUACUAUAGAUAAAGUCAUUGUCACAGAGAAAUGCAUGAAACAAAUAUUGCUUUGAGAUUUGGGCUCUCUAGCAGUCCAUGGGCUUUGUAGCGAUUUGGCCGAUCAUGCGGUUUACUGCGAGAUGUUAGGAUCCGUGUUAUAUUAACAUUGGCACAGCACUCUCUGUGUUAUAUCAAUUAAUAAUUCAUUAAUGCCUGCUGCUCUGUUUUGUUUUAUUACAUGACAUUACGAUUGUAUUAAUAACCGGGGUUUAGAUAUGAAUAACGUUGUGUAAAUGAAGGGUUAUUGGCACAUAAUGUGAAAUGUGUUAAUGUUAAAUGAUAGGGUAUUUUAUAUAGUGUGUAUAAAUUUCAUUGUAUUUUCCUUUAACAUCAGUAUGUUGUAGUGUCUCUUUCCUCUGUUAUGGAUUGCAGCAACUGUAUUGUGUCAGAUGAAAACUGGCCCUCCCGCCUAAGCCUGGUUUUCUCACAAUGUUUUUUUUCACCCGUUGACUCUGUUGGUUGCUUACUGAGAGACUGCUGACAUUAACCUAACUUAGGACUUUCUAUUUGUACAUUACAUUAAUGCUGCUUUCAUUAUUAUGAUCCAAUUUCGAUCUUUCACUUUGUAUUAUUCUAGUAGGAAAUCAUUUUUAAUACCUCCAUGUAGUCAAUUUCUGGAUAAGAUUUAAAGAUAUAGUUUGGAAAUAAAUAAAAAUACUUAUAUGUAUACCUCUAUCCUAGAUGAUCAUUAUAUAGUUUGAUUUGAAUACUACAUAUUACAUUAUUUAACCCUUAUGGGUUGUUGAGGCCAUUUUGGUCAUUUUUAUUUUUUUAUGUCUUCAUGUGGCCACAACUUUCUCUGUGUUUCAGCAAAUGGAAUGAUUUUUGGUGACAAAUCUGAUAUCGGGGGCGGCAGUGGCUAAGUGGUUUAUGUAGGUUAUCUACAAACCGGAAGGUUGGUGGUUCAAUCCCGGCUCCACCUGACCAAGUGUCGAGGCGUCCUUAAGCAAGACAUCUAACCCCAGCUGCUCCGAUGAGCUGGAAGGCACCUUGCAUGGCUGACAUCGCAGUCGGUGUAUGAAUGGGAUGGCCAUAGGUCUGAUAAAAGCGCUAUAUAAAUGCAGUCCAUUUACCAUUGAUACAUAUUUUGAGAAAAUGCUUUGAAAUGUUAAAAAAAACCUCAACGAUAUACUGUGGCCAAAUGUACUACCCUUUCAGGUUGUUUGUGUACAAAAAAGCCACAAAAUUAAAUGGCUGUAAAAAUUGAUCAGAUUCAUAUUUUUUCAAAUAGUUUUUUCAUAAAUCUGUUAAUCACCCUCAGUACUGAUCAAAACGACCAAAUGCUUACAAACUUUCCAUGAUUUUAACUCUUUAAUUGCCAAGUUCAUAAGUGGUGUCACUGAUUUGAUGA